This is a long non-coding RNA of Alexandromys fortis (reed vole), 767 nucleotides long. RefSeq lists it as uncharacterized. Lineage: Eukaryota; Metazoa; Chordata; Mammalia; Rodentia; Cricetidae. The transcript has 5 exons. The record is from RefSeq and is a predicted model, not a curated record.
AGGCACGUACAGGGGCGGGGCCAGCGCGACCGAGGCCGCCUUUCCAUCCGCAGCAGGUAGCACCGAGCUCGCCCGCCCGGUGCAGCAGUACCAGGCUCCCCGCCUGCCAGCUAGGGUCAGGCUGCGCUGCUCUCAGGCACCUGCCUUUCUCUGCUUUCCGGAUUGCAGCCAAAACGGAAUAAAGGAAAUUACAUAGUAAGCGGAGAUCGGGUGUCUGAGCAGCGUCUUGGAUAAAAUCCACCCAUGACAGGCUACGAAAGAAGAAAGAAAGAGGGAUGAUGAACAACCACCCAACUUCAUGUCUGGCAUCAAGGGUCUCACCGUUAUCCACGGCUAAAGAUUUAUCUGCCUGUGACCUUCAGCUCUGAGUUUAAACGACAGACAUUCUGAAAUAAAUGUUCAAGACAAUGACUACUUCACAUAAAUGAGUAGUAGCUCUCCUAAAAGGAAAACCAGAGCUUUGGAUGAUCCAGGAAGUACUCAAUUUGGCGCAGCAUGACAUGAAGAUAAACUUGUUUCUCGACAGCUUACAAUCUGCUCAGCUAAUUUAACUUACUUUAAUUAACUUGGGUCUUUCAUAUACAUUUCCAUAUUUUAGAAAUAUUAACCAUUUGUCAUAUUAAAUUUAAUUUUUCCAGAACCUAUUUUCUCUCAUUUGUUUCUUUUUCUCUAACUAGGCAGUUCGAGCCCUUUUAAAAAUUAAACCUUUUCCUUGCUUACUUUUGAUGUCAAUGUAUUAAACUGUCACUUGCUUUUGACACACAUUA